RNAcentral lists this ribosomal RNA (253 nucleotides) under uncultured bacterium. RNAcentral describes it as "partial 16S ribosomal RNA". It matches the Rfam family "Bacterial small subunit ribosomal RNA", at positions 524 to 776 of the family's 1533-position model. The record is from RNAcentral.
UACAGAGGGUGCGAGCGUUAAUCGGAAUUACUGGGCGUAAAGCGCACGUAGGUGGCGACGUAAGUCGGGUGUGAAAGCCCCGGGCUCAACCUGGGAAUUGCAUUCGAGACUGCAUUGCUGGAGUACGGAAGAGGAAGGCGGAAUUCCCGGUGUAGCGGUGAAAUGCGCAGAUAUCGGGAAGAACACCCGUGGCGAAGGCGGCUUUCUGGCUCGCAACUGACGCUGUAGCGCGAAAGCGUGGGGAGCGAACGGG